This 253-nucleotide ribosomal RNA is filed under the name uncultured bacterium. RNAcentral's name for it is "partial 16S ribosomal RNA". It matches the Rfam family "Bacterial small subunit ribosomal RNA", at positions 524 to 776 of the family's 1533-position model. The record is from RNAcentral.
CACGUAGGGCGCAAGCGUUGUCCGGAAUUAUUGGGCGUAAAGAGCUCGUAGGCGGUCUGUUGCGUCCGCUGUGAAAACUCGGGGCUUAACCCCGAGCCUGCAGUGGAUACGGGCAGACUAGAGGUAGGUAGGGGAGAAUGGAAUUCCCGGUGUAGCGGUGAAAUGCGCAGAUAUCGGGAGGAACACCGGUGGCGAAGGCGGCAUCCUGGACCGACACUGACGCUGAGGAGCGAAAGCCAGGGGAGCAAACGGG